Molecule: microRNA, 21 nt
Filed under: Notamacropus eugenii (tammar wallaby)
Lineage: Eukaryota; Metazoa; Chordata; Mammalia; Diprotodontia; Macropodidae
Also listed under: 1 other name
Description: Neu-Mir-7383-P5b_3p* (star (passenger))
Source: RNAcentral
AGAGGCUCCAGCUCCCUUUGU